Molecule: ribosomal RNA, 433 nt
Filed under: uncultured bacterium
Lineage: Bacteria
Description: partial 16S ribosomal RNA
Rfam family: Bacterial small subunit ribosomal RNA
Source: RNAcentral
AACGAACGCUGGCGGCAUGCCUAACACAUGCAAGUCGAACGAGACCUUCGGGUCUUGUGGCGCACGGGUGCGUCACGCGUGGGAACCUUCCCUUAGGUUCGGCAUAACUCCCCGAAAGGGGUGCUAAUACCGGAUAAUGUCUUCGGACCAAAGAUGUAUCGCCCUUGGUUGGGCCGGCGUUGGAUUAGCUAGUUGUUAGGGUAAAAGCCUACUAAGGGGACGAUCCAUAGCUGGUCUGAGAGGAUGAUCAGCCACACUUGGACUGAGACACGGCCCAGACUCCUACGGGAGGCGGCAGUGGGGAAUAGUGGACAAUGGGGGAAAGGCUGAUCCAGCAAUGCCGCGUGAGUGAUGAAGGCCUUAGGGUUGUAAAGCUCUUUUACCCGGGAUGAUAAUGACAGUACCGGGAGAAUAAGCUCCGGCUAACUACGUG